This 547-nucleotide ribosomal RNA is filed under the name Leptographium piceaperdum. RNAcentral's name for it is "eukaryotic LSU rRNA". It matches the Rfam family "Eukaryotic large subunit ribosomal RNA", at positions 1 to 554 of the family's 3401-position model. The record is from RNAcentral. Lineage: Eukaryota; Fungi; Ascomycota; Sordariomycetes; Ophiostomatales; Ophiostomataceae.
UGACCUCGGAUCAGGUAGGACUACCCGCUGAACUUAAGCAUAUCAAUAAGCGGAGGAAAAGAAACCAACAGGGAUUGCCCCAGUAACGGCGAGUGAAGCGGCAACAGCUCAGAUUUGGAAUCUGGCCCCUAGGGCCCGAGUUGUAAUCUGGAGAGGAUGUUUCUGGCGCGGCGCCUUCCGAGUUCCCUGGAACGGGACGCCGGAGAGGGUGAGAGCCCCGUACGGUUGGACGCCUAGCCUUUGUGAAACUCCUUCGACGAGUCGAGUAGUUUGGGAAUGCUGCUCAAAAUGGGAGGUAAAUUUCUUCUAAAGCUAAAUACCGGCCAGAGACCGAUAGCGCACAAGUAGAGUGAUCGAAAGAUGAAAAGCACUUUGAAAAGAGGGUCAAACAGUACGUGAAAUUGUUGAAAGGGAAGCGCCCGUGGCCAGACUUGUACCCCGCGGACCAUCCGGCGCCCUCAGCGCCGGUGCACUCCGUGGGGCGCAGGCCAGCAUCGGUUUUCCUAGGGGGAUAAAGGCGGCGGGAACGUAGCUCCCUCGGGAGUGU